GCGCACCAGGCGCGAAACUUUACAAUGCGGGAAACCGCGAUAAGGGGACUCCGAGUGCCAGCAUACUAUGUUGGCUGUCCACAUGUGCAAAUAGCAUGUGUUAGCAAGGGCCGGGCAAGACCGGUGCCAGCCGCCGCGGUAACACCGGCGGCCCGAGUGGUAAUCACUAUUAUUGGGGUCUAAAAGGGGUCCGUAGCCGGUUUGAUUUAGUCUUCCGGGAAAUCUGAUAGCUCAACUAUUAGGCUUCCGGGGUGA
This 255-nucleotide ribosomal RNA is filed under the name uncultured microorganism. RNAcentral describes it as "partial 16S ribosomal RNA". It matches the Rfam family "Archaeal small subunit ribosomal RNA", at positions 330 to 582 of the family's 1478-position model. The record is from RNAcentral.